RNAcentral lists this transfer RNA (64 nucleotides) under Neuroctenus parus. Its description in RNAcentral is "tRNA-Glu". The record is from RNAcentral. Lineage: Eukaryota; Metazoa; Arthropoda; Insecta; Hemiptera; Aradidae.
AUUUAUAUAGUUUAAGGAAAACCUAUCAUUUUCAAUGAUAAAUUGAGAAUUAUCUUUAUAAAUA